CAUGGUUGUCUCAGCUCGUGUCGUGAGAUGUUGGGUUAAUCCCGCAACGAGCGCAACCCUUGAUCUUAUUGCCAGCAUUCAGUUGGGCACUCUAAGGUGACUGCCGGUGACAAACCGGAGGAAGGUGGGGAUGACGUCAAAUCAUCAUGCCCCUUAUGACCUGGGCUACACACGUGCUACAAUGGACAGAACAAAGGGUUGCGAGACCGCAAGGUUUAGCCAAUCCCACAAAUCUGUUCUCAGUUCGGAUCGCAGUCUGCAACUCGACUGCGUGAAGCUGGAAUCGCUAGUAAUCGCGGAUCA
RNAcentral lists this ribosomal RNA (303 nucleotides) under Bacillus altitudinis. RNAcentral describes it as "bacterial SSU rRNA". It matches the Rfam family "Bacterial small subunit ribosomal RNA", at positions 1044 to 1351 of the family's 1533-position model. Lineage: Bacteria; Bacillati; Bacillota; Bacilli; Caryophanales; Bacillaceae. The record is from RNAcentral.